CGGUUAAAAUUAGAUGUGCACCAAGAUAGAAAUAGAGAGAGACACGGAGAGUAACAGAGAAAGAGAGAGGCGAUGAAAUCAAAAAGCUUCAACAAAACGAUUUUGCAGACCCAAAGCACUGUUUACCACAAAACAAAACCCAAUUCUCUUCUAAAAACUAAAAUUAAAACUUGUAACUACUCUCUCUUCUCAGAAACCCAAAAAUCAAAACCAUCUCCUUCCCCUAAAAUCAAAAUCCAGAACUUAGAUGAGAAAGAAGUAAGUGAUCAGAGGUGUCAUUCUCACGCAAUCUCUGAUUCCCUCACACAAUGGCCAUCGAUUCAUCAAACCAACUCAACCUCAACCCUACUACUACUACAGAAGAACACCCUAAACAAACCCUAGACGAUGACACUACUACUACUGUCACACCCACCAGAUCGCCUCAGAGAAGAAGAAAUCGAGGAAGAACCAACUGAUGAGGCUUUCGAUCAACCUUCUGUAACCACCAUCGAUUCCGAUGAGAAGUACGACGAGGAUUCAAAGAGCACUGUAGCCGAUGCUUGUAGCAGGGGAUGUUGUUGAUAUGGAUCCGGCUUCCAAUCGUUUCACUCCGUGUUUAUCAUGUACAAAUUUAGAAAAGUUACUGGGUUCUCUAAUAGGUGAAUUACCGUUGGGUUCUCUACAAUAAAAUGAAAGGUCAAAGCUGAUUGAUUGUGUUAUGUGGAAUCUACAACUGUAUAGGAACCUUGCUCUUCUAUAGUUUUAGAGUUAAGAUGAGGACAGGUUCCAUGUGUUUUUCCAUCUUGCAAGUUCCUAGAUGCAGAAUCCCCACCUUAGCUACUUCUUGGAGGGAAAGCUUCCAUAGUUUGAGUAGGACUGACAAUAGAAAAUGGACUCGAAUUCCUGUAUUUACAAAAAGUGAUACAUUUAGUGUAAAUAAGACAGAGAUUAGUCAAUUCCACAAUACUGAAUAUUGUGAAUCAUAAGAUUCACUUCCUAUAGAUUAUUGAAAUAAAACAAAAAAUAUAUAUGACUACCUUCGAAAGAAUAA
Long non-coding RNA from Quercus robur (English oak), 1033 nucleotides. RefSeq lists it as uncharacterized. NCBI's taxonomy places the organism in Eukaryota, Viridiplantae, Streptophyta, Magnoliopsida, Fagales, Fagaceae. The record is from RefSeq and is a predicted model, not a curated record. The transcript has 3 exons.